RNAcentral lists this unclassified non-coding RNA (26 nucleotides) under Mus musculus (house mouse). RNAcentral's name for it is "oocyte_clustered_small_RNA13973". The record is from RNAcentral. Lineage: Eukaryota; Metazoa; Chordata; Mammalia; Rodentia; Muridae.
ACCAGGCUAGCCUUGAAUUGUGAGGA